GACGAACGCUGGCGGCGUGCUUAACACAUGCAAGUCGAACGGAAAGGCCCUGCUUUUGUGGGGAGCUCGAGUGGCGAACGGGUGAGUAACACGUGAGUAACCUGCCCUUGACUUUGGGAUAACUUCAGGAAACUGGGGCUAAUACCGGAUAGGAGCUCCUGCUGCAUGGUGGGGGUUGGAAAGUUUCGGCGGUUGGGGAUGGACUCGCGGCUUAUCAGCUUGUUGGUGGGGUAGUGGCUUACCAAGGCUUUGACGGGUAGCCGGCCUGAGAGGGUGACCGGCCACAUUGGGACUGAGAUACGGCCCAGACUCCUACGGGAGGCAGCAGCGGGGAAUAUUGCACAAUGGGCGGAAGCCUGAUGCAGCAACGCCGCGUGCGGGAUGACGGCCUUCGGGUUGUAAACCGCUUUCGCCUGUGACGAAGCGUGAGUGACGGUAAUGGGUAAAGAAGCACCGGCUAACUACGUG
RNAcentral lists this ribosomal RNA (468 nucleotides) under uncultured bacterium. RNAcentral describes it as "partial 16S ribosomal RNA". It matches the Rfam family "Bacterial small subunit ribosomal RNA", at positions 28 to 507 of the family's 1533-position model. The record is from RNAcentral.